RNAcentral lists this ribosomal RNA (434 nucleotides) under uncultured archaeon. Its description in RNAcentral is "SSU rRNA". It matches the Rfam family "Archaeal small subunit ribosomal RNA", at positions 25 to 440 of the family's 1478-position model. The record is from RNAcentral.
CCGGAUUGCUAUCGGGAUGGGACUAAGCCAUGCAAGUCUAAAUGGUACUUCAUGCCUGUACCAUUGGCAAAUCGCUCAGUAACACGUAGUUAAUCUACCUAUGGAGGGGCAUACCCUCGGGAAACUGAGGCUAAUUCCCCAUAGGCCACGCGGACUGGAAUGUUGCGUGACCUAAAUGACCUGUGAGGCCAUGAAAUCAGGCUCGCCAUAGGAUGAGACUGCGGCGGAUUAUGGUUGUUGGUGGGGUAACGGCCCACCAAGCCUUUGAUCCGUACGGGCCGUGAGAGCGGGAGCCCGGAGAUGGGAACUGAGAUAAUGUCCCAAGCCCUACGGGGUGCAGCAGGCGCGAAACCUCCGCAAUGCACGCAAGUGUGACGGGGCCAUCCCGAGUGCCUUCGGGCUUUUCUACAGUGUAAGAAGCUGUAGGAAUAAAG